AUAUGAGGACUGCGAUUUGUAGGUUACUCCGAUAUAGUAAAUCUUAAAAGAUUUUUCUUUUCCAUAUU
RNAcentral lists this transfer RNA (68 nucleotides) under Obrimoposthia wandeli. RNAcentral's name for it is "tRNA-Ile". Lineage: Eukaryota; Metazoa; Platyhelminthes; Tricladida; Uteriporidae. The record is from RNAcentral.